GCCCCCGUAGCUCAGGGAUAGAGCAACGGCCUCCGGAGCCGUGUGCGCAGGUUCGAAUCCUGCCGGGGGCA
Molecule: transfer RNA, 71 nt
Filed under: Streptomyces scabiei
Lineage: Bacteria; Bacillati; Actinomycetota; Actinomycetes; Kitasatosporales; Streptomycetaceae
Also listed under: 1 other name
Description: tRNA-Arg
Rfam family: tRNA
About the family: Transfer RNA (tRNA) molecules are approximately 80 nucleotides in length. Their secondary structure includes four short double-helical elements and three loops (D, anti-codon, and T loops).
Source: RNAcentral